UAAUACGGAGACUGCGAGCGUUACUCGGAUUUACUGGGCGUAAAGGGUGCGUAGGCGGCAAUGUGUGUCAGGUGUGAAAUCUUGGGGCUUAACCCCAAAUUGCGCUUGAAACUGCAUUGCUAGAGUGUCGGAGGGGCAAGCGGAAUUUCGAGUGUAGCAGUGAAAUGCGUAGAUAUUCGAAGGAACGCCAAUAGCGAAGGCAGCUUGCUGGACGAUUACUGACGCUGAGGCACGAAAGCGCGGGAGCGAAAGGAUUAGAUACCCUUGUAGUCCACGCCGUAAACGUUGUACACUAGAUUUCGGGACAUUCGACCGUUUCGGAAUGCAAGCUAACGCGAUAAGUGUACCGCCUGAGGACUACGGCCGCAAGGCUAAAACUCAAAGGAAUUGACGGGGGCCCGCACAAGCGGUGGAGCAUGUGGCUUAAUUCGAUGCAACGCGAAGAACCUUACCUAGGCUUGACAUACAUUGGACGUACUAUGAAAGUAGUAUUCUCUUAGGAGUC
RNAcentral lists this ribosomal RNA (505 nucleotides) under uncultured Coraliomargarita sp. RNAcentral's name for it is "bacterial SSU rRNA". It matches the Rfam family "Bacterial small subunit ribosomal RNA", at positions 521 to 1028 of the family's 1533-position model. The record is from RNAcentral. Lineage: Bacteria; Pseudomonadati; Verrucomicrobiota; Opitutia; Puniceicoccales; Coraliomargaritaceae.